AGCGUUGUUCGGAAUUACUGGGCGUAAAGCGCGCGUAGGCGGAUAUUUUAGUCAGGGGUGAAAUCCCGGGGCUCAACCCCGGAACUGCCUCUGAUACUGGAUAUCUUGAGUUCGAGAGAGGUAAGUGGAAUUGCGAGUGUAG
Molecule: ribosomal RNA, 142 nt
Filed under: uncultured Alphaproteobacteria bacterium
Lineage: Bacteria; Pseudomonadati; Pseudomonadota; Alphaproteobacteria
Description: partial 16S ribosomal RNA
Rfam family: Bacterial small subunit ribosomal RNA
Source: RNAcentral